This 466-nucleotide ribosomal RNA is filed under the name uncultured bacterium. Its description in RNAcentral is "partial 16S ribosomal RNA". It matches the Rfam family "Bacterial small subunit ribosomal RNA", at positions 28 to 507 of the family's 1533-position model. The record is from RNAcentral.
GAUGAACGCUGGCGGCGUGCUUAACACAUGCAAGUCGAACGGAAAGGCCCAAGCUUGCUUGGGUACUCGAGUGGCGAACGGGUGAGUAACACGUGGGUGAUCUGCCCUGCACUUCGGGAUAAGCCUGGGAAACUGGGUCUAAUACCGGAUAGGACCACAUUUUGGAUGGUGUGGUGGAAAGUUUUUCGGUGUGGGAUGAGCUCGCGGCCUAUCAGCUUGUUGGUGGGGUAAUGGCCUACCAAGGCGUCGACGGGUAGCCGGCCUGAGAGGGUGUACGGCCACAUUGGGACUGAGAUACGGCCCAGACUCCUACGGGAGGCAGCAGUGGGGAAUAUUGCACAAUGGGCGCAAGCCUGGUGCAGCGACGCCGCGUGGGGGAUGACGGCCUUCGGGUUGUAAACUCCUUUCGCUAGGGACGAAGCGUUAUGUGACGGUACCUGGAGAAGAAGCACCGGCUAACUACGUG